GCCAACCUUUUAUUUUAUUUUAUGUGCUGAAGUAAGAAACUUAUCUCUUAUCAUGCCUAAUUCUUUAAUAAUACUCAGAAAGUCGCAUUCGUUCGAAUUCUUAUUUAUGAAAUCUGUCGAUGCACAAAAUCAUAUAAAUAAUUACAUAUUAAGUGACGAGCAUGAAAAUAUGGUAAACUUGAUUGUUGGUUCCAAUCUACUUGGAUAACCCUAUAGCUCAAAGCUACAACUGUUGAACUUGAAGCCCUAGAAUUGGGUGCAGAUGCUCAUACACUUGGCGCCUUCACAAACCCUAAUGCAUUUACCAGUGUUGACGUCGGAUAUCGGGGGUGUGCAUUGAAGAGCUUUCUUGCAAGGAAUGGUCCAGCAACCCACAAUCACGAUGACGGCAAAGCUUAUAAACAGACCCAUACAAAUUACAUAGUAAAAAUCACGUAGAUGAUUUGUAACAUCAGGCAUGACCCUCCGCCUUAGUUCCGUUUCAUGCUUAUUUCCUACAGUCAUAGGAUGUUGAAUUUUCGUCGUAUCCCAGUACGAUAAUAUUUUAGCCUUCAGCCGUUGAUCUGAAGGUGAAGUUUCUAGCUUGCUCAGAUCACUUUCCAAUUCAAUGAGCUCACUCUUGGUUUGGUGUCUCUGCAUAACGCUUUUUUUAUAUUUGCUUCCAACUACAAGCAAUGAAACCAAGUUGAGUAUGGCUGCUAUCAGAGAGAGGCUGAAAAGGAACCAGCGAUCUGAGCAUCUGAGCGCUGUGGUCGCAGUGACGAUAGGCCCCAAAAUAAGUCCUUGAAAGACGAAGUAGUAGUUUGCAAGGUUGAAGGCGCUCGUUUGAAGUUGAUUUACUUGAUCAUCCUGUUUCUCAAUUGUAGUUUGCAGCUCCUGUUUUCUUUUAUCCAUGUUUUCUUUCUUUUCUUUGUCACCAUUUGGCGGACAUGGAUCGGUGUCCAUUAAUCAGCAGCACGCUCAAAGUAAGAGAGCUAGAGAGAUAAGAAGACAGAGUCUUAGAGUAAAGUCCCCUUCUCGUCCAUGCAACUUAUAUACACAGAGAUAGUUCUGUUGGCUUUUUGAAUAAGCCAAUACACUCACUCUCACUCUUACACUCAGCUCCAAUUGGGUAAUACCAUAGUGGAAACGAUACCCUAGGCACCAUGUGUGUGAGUAACUCCUUUCCCAUUUCUACUUUCGAUGAAUAAAAUAAAAAAAUAAAAAGUCAAGAUUUUUUGGUGCAGGACGUCUGUCCGUUGUUAAAGGACGGAUUUUGCAUUGAUAAUGUUGUCGACCACGCCGGAUCAACCCAAAAAAUAGAGGAAAAAAGAUAGCGGAGGAAAGUUGCUCGCCCGCAAACUUACUGCAUCUCUGUUCCUAAGUGUGAACAUAUCUUUGGCAAAAUUUACAUUGUGGAAAGGGAUUUACACUUGAACCUUAUUUUGCGUUACAGAUCACCAACUCACAAUAUUUGUAAUUCAAUUAUUUCAAGCGUGUGUAGUGGAGGGACCCCUCUAUUUGUCUGAAAUGAUAUUUCGCAAUUAUUUCAAGCGUACCACCAAGGCCCACCCCUGAGAGAAAUUGUACAAUAAUACUGUGCCAAGUGGUAGUACGGACCAAUAAAAUAACAACACAUUUGCUUCUCAAGGAGAACCAAAGAGUUGAAAGAAAAAAAUUGCAAAAAUUUCGGCAGUGAGGAGGAAAGGUGCUAUUUGGUGCAGUAUUUACCAUUCAAUUUUCCAAGAAGGUUUCAAGGGUGACUUUAACGCCAGUAUCAAACGGAUUAGCUCCUUUCUUCUUUUAGUUGCAGCUGUCCAGUUGUCAGCAUUUCAUUCGUAUGUACUACUACCUGGUAAAUGCCAUGUGGUAGUACAAUAUCAUUGUAUAAUUUCUCCUUUAUCAGAACCUUGACGAUGAAGAGCUCUUACUCAAACGUUAAUAACGAAGUUUAUAAUGUAUUUUAGGAGCUGAAACCAUUGUUGAAACCCUAGUAGUCAGUGCAGAUGCUUAUGUUUUUGUCCCAAACGUUUAUAAGGGAUAGAAUCUAGCUAGGGUAGCUAAGACGUUCUACGUACAUAAACUUUUUUUUUUCCCAAACUAUUUGGAUAAUUAUUCCCAUGAGCUGAAACCAUUGUUGAAACCCUAGUAGUCAGUGCAGAUGCUUAUGCACUUGGCACCUUCACAAAACCUAAUGCAGUUAUCAAUAUUGGAUACUGGGUGCUUACAUUUAUCAGCUUCCCUGCAAAGAAUGGUCCAGCAACCCACAAUCACGAUGAUGGCAAAGGUUACAAACAGACCCAUGCAAAUUACAAAGUAGAAUUUACGUUUACAAUCUGCACAAGGAUCAACAAGGAAGAUCCUUCUAUGCCGUUGUUUCGGUUAUUGUCUGUGCUUGUAGGACACUCAGAACCAACCUGUUUCUUUCCGGAACUUUGAGGUUGAGUUUGAUCUGAUUGUUCCAAUUCAAACUUUUGGUUACGUCUUGUUUUCGUUCAAAAUAUUAAUAAUAUUGGGGGAUGGGAGGGGCUCCUCGAAGUGUAGGUUCUCUAUCCUUCGGAAUUGAGGGUGGAUGUUUCGUCUUUUGAUCUUCACUUAAAAUCUAGUCUGAUUAUUUUGAGCUUAUACUUUCUUUGGAAUAUAUUCAGAAAAGUAAUAUCCCUAGAUUUGAUUGUUUUGAACUUAAUUACUGUCAUCGAGUAUUUUUGCUUUUUUAAUGGAAUUUCCUUCUGGCAAAAAAGCUGAGCUAAUUGUUUGUCUUGGCAUUACUGGAGUUGUAGUCUAAGAUAAAGAGAGAAAACUCUUGCAUUUUUAUGUGACGAGAAUUUGGAUUAAGAGUCGAACGAUGUCAAGAAAUGCAAAAGAAAGGGCAUCGCGUUAAAAGAAACAAUAAACCCAGCACAUGCUAAGUGGCAAAACAAGGCCAAAACCCCAGCGUUUAUGAUGUUGAAAGGUUCCAAUCACGAUUGAUAAUGGGGAAGUAGCCCAAUGUCAUACAUCACUCAAAUCCACACUAGGUCCCUUGACUUUCCAAUGCUAAGUGGUGGCUCUGCAAGAAAGAACAUGAAAAGCAAUUCAGUACACCUACUAUCAGCUUUUUCUUUUCUUUUGAAUGUCUAGCUAUAUAUGUGUUUCAGUGCAUAUGCGUGUUACUUUUAUCCUUCUUUUGGCAUGCAUUUGUGAGUGGAUGUCCAACGUCAAGCUUGAAGCAUCAGAUAAACAACUAUGCUUCGAAUGAGAUAAAAACGGCAUGCUUGCAAUUUCAACGAAAAAACUAGGGAUGUUUUCCUUGAAAGAAAACUGAGGAUAGGCAGGGCAUCUCCUGCAAUCAGUGCCCACUUUCACGUCUCAUGACUUCGGCUCAAGCUCAAAAUUAUAAUUCAAUUCCAUUGUUUUUAUAUAAAGUAAAAGACCCAAUUGCCAUGUGGGCUGGUCAGGUCGUGUACAAGACUAGCGGCCCGGUUCAAUGUUUUCUUUCUCUUCCUUUUUCUUCUCUAAUUUUUAUUUUUUAGAAGCUAUAGUUUAAAUUAAUCUAAACUAAGAGCUCUAUUAAUUAUGUUUUUUGGAUUUUAUUAAAUUUUUUAUUCUUAUGAAGUUGUGCCGUACAUUCAAGGUAAGAGCAUCUACAAUGGUUGUGUGUAAAUUUGGAGGUGUAAAACCACUUUUACAUCUCCUUUACACCUCCGGGGGAUGUAAAUGUGAUUUUUGCUUAAAUGGAGAAGAUGCAAAUCCAAAUAUGUAUAUUUAAUUUUCUUGUGUUAAUUUUUUUUUCCGUUAACUUUUUAAAAUUAAUUUUGUGUGUGUUAGGUUUAUUUUAUUUUUCCAAAAAAAUGAACCCAAAAAAAUUUCAAUUCAAAGAAGAUAUGGUUUCAUAGAACUAGAACCGUUGGAUCGUACAGUACAUUUAAUCUGAACUAUUGGUAUCUUAUCACGUUUUUGCACACAAUUCAAGAUCCAUUAUUUUUUUGAUUUGCACACAAAUCAAGACCCAACAUGAUAGGAUUUGAUCUCAUCUUCAACCGUUGAUCGCCAUGUUACUUUGUUUGGAGAGUGUUCUUUUAGUUGCGCGUAGAGGAAGAGUAGCUCAACCUUUUUCAGCUGCUCUUCUCUCUCAGCUCUCUCCUUAUUUCUUGCGUGCAAGGUCCGUAAAGUGAGUGUAAAAAUGGAUGUAAAUCAGCAUCUUUUUAUUUACAUUUGGUGGCUAAAGUAAAUAUAUAAGCAUUUACAUCCUCCCAUUGCAUCAAUUUUCCGACAGCAAUAGAUGUAAAUUUAGCAUACAUUCACCUUUACACACUACCAAUAUAGAUGCUCUAAGGGUCGUUUUGAACAACAAACACCAAUUCCAAAUAAAUGGAUUUAUCAAGUAAACAUAAUAUUUUUCACAAUUUUGUGGAGUAUUUUUUUCUUUUUGCUCUGCUAUUUUACCAGCUCAACGUCCACCUCUUCUUUCUUCCAUUUGCAGUUGUUGCACCUGUGGCUCUAUUUAUUUUUGGAACUCUAUCUAUAUUUCUGAUUAAGUAAAUUUAGGUUUCAGCCACAAAAAAAAUUUCACUUUUGAAAAAAGCCAAAAUUUUUCCCAAAAAGACAAAAAAAACCUCUCAACUUUCAAACCAAAGACAUUCAAAUGUAAAUAAUUCCUUAAAAAAUCCAAAAAUAAUAAGGGUAUUUUUAUCCAUUUUAAUUUCUUUCAAAAAUAUUUUUCUCUCAUUUGGUCUUUUUCAAAAAUGUCCCUUCUGAUAAUAUGUAUAUAUAUGUGAUUAAAAAAUCAGGUGGAUUCUUGUAAUAAUUCAGUCGGCAAAUCUAGAGGAUGCAGGACCAUUACGUACAGUUAGCCCCACUCAAAAUCACGCACAGUCCCCCGUGAAGUGAAGGACCAACUUGACAAAGCUCCCAGGUCCCAGCACAGGCAGAUUGUCUCUUCUUUUGGUCCACAUAAAAACUCCAAAUUUAGGUAAAUUGUUAAGGAUAAUUCAUCUAAAACACAAUGCAAAAAUUCAAAAAGAAAAAUUUAUACACACAUGUAUAUACUAUCAUUGGCGAGAAUAUUCCUACUUAUUAGGGAAGUAUUUUCCAAUUGUUAGUCUCAUCGAUAGAUGUACCUAUUCCUUAGUGGGGUGAGCUUAAUUAGUUGACUUGGCUUGUUAGCAUAGAUGAUGUAAAUAACAAAAAAGAUAGGGUAUAGAAAAAUAAAUAUGAUGAUAUUGAAGUAAGGAAAGAAAAAAAAAAACAAAAAGAUUUGCAAGCAGAAAAGGCCAACUUUUUUAAUUUUAUGUGCCGAAGACCUAAAUUCAUCCGAAUCUUAUAUUUUAUUUGAGCUCCGAUUAUAAUAACAUUCUUAUUUGUGAAAUCUGUACGUGCACAAAAGCAUAUAAUAAACUAGUAUAGAUGAAAUGAUGAGCAACAAAAUAUGGUAAACUUUAUUGUGGUUCCAAUCUACUUGGAUAACCGUAGCUCAAAGCUAUAUAGAACUGUUGAACAUUAAGCCUUAGAACUGGGCGCAGAUGCUCAUACACUUGGCACCUUCACAAACCCUAAUACAUUUAUCACUGUUGGCGUUCGAUAUCUGGGGUGUGCAUUGAAGAGUUUUCUUGCAAGGAAUAGUCCAGCAACCCACAAUCACGAUGACGGCAAAGAUUAUAAAUAUACCCAUGCAAAGUACGAAGUAGAACUCACGUAGAUGAUUUGUAACAACAGGAAUGACCCUCCUUUUAUGCCUUACUUCCGAUUCAUCCUUAAUAUCCAGGGUCGUAGGAUGAUGAGAAGCAACCUGUGGAUGUUGAAUAUUUGUCGUAUCCCAGUAGGUUAAUAUUUUAGUUUUGAGCCCUUGAUCUGAAGGUGAAGUUUCUAGCUUGCUCAGAUCACUUUCCAAUUCAAUGAGCUCACUCUUGGUUUGGUGUCUCUGCAUGACGCUUCUUUUAUAAUUGCUUCCAAUUACAAGCAAUGAAACCAAGUUGAGUAUAGCUGCUAUCAGAGAGAGGCUGAAAAGGAACCAGCGAUCUGAGCAUCUGAGGGCUGAGGUGGCAGUGACGAUAGCCCCCAAAAUAAUACCUUGAAAGACGAAGUAGUAGUUUGCAAGGUUGAAGGCGCUCGUUUGAAGUUGAUGUACUUUAUCAUCCUGCUUCUCAAUGGUAGUUAGCAACUCCUGUUUUCUUUUCUCCAUGUUUUCUCUCUUUUCUUUGUCACCAUUUGGUGGGUAUUGAUGGUUAGCCAUACUCAAUCUAUA
RNAcentral lists this long non-coding RNA (6202 nucleotides) under Prunus persica (peach). Its description in RNAcentral is "long non-coding RNA (PPER_LNC001493)". The record is from RNAcentral. Lineage: Eukaryota; Viridiplantae; Streptophyta; Magnoliopsida; Rosales; Rosaceae.